GCGGGCGGGUGCUUACACAUGCAAGUCGACGAUGAACCACUUCGGUGGGGAUUAGUGGCGAACGGGUGAGUAACACGUGGGCAAUCUGCCCUGCACUCUGGGACAAGCCCUGGAAACGGGGUCUAAUACCGGAUACUGAUCCGUCUGGGCAUCCAGACGGUUCGAAAGCUCCGGCGGUGCAGGAUGAGCCCGCGGCCUAUCAGCUUGUUGGUGAGGUAGUGGCUCACCAAGGCGACGACGGGUAGCCGGCCUGAGAGGGCGACCGGCCACACUGGGACUGAGACACGGCCCACACUCCUACGGGAGGCAGCAGUGGGGAAUAUUGCACAAUGGGCGAAAGCCUGAUGCAGCGACGCCGCGUGAGGGAUGACGGCCUUCGGGUUGUAAACCUCUUUCAGCAGGGAAGAAGCGAAAGUGACGGUACCUGCAGAAGAAGCGCCGGCUAACUACGUGCCAGCAGCCGCGGUAAUACGUAGGGCGCGAGCGUUGUCCGGAAUUAUUGGGCGUAAAGAGCUCGUAGGCGGCUUGUCACGUCGGUUGUGAAAGCCCGGGGCUUAACCCCGGGUCUGCAGUCGAUACGGGCAGGCUAGAGUUCGGUAGGGGAGAUCGGAAUUCCUGGUGUAGCGGUGAAAUGCGCAGAUAUCAGGAGGAACACCGGUGGCGAAGGCGGAUCUCUGGGCCGAUACUGACGCUGAGGAGCGAAAGCGUGGGGAGCGAACAGGAUUAGAUACCCUGGUAGUCCACGCCGUAAACGGUGGGCACUAUGUGUGGGCAACAUUCCACGUUGUCCGUGCCGCAUCUAACGCAUUAAGUGCCCCGCCUGGGGAGUACGGCCGCAAGGCUAAAACUCACAGGAAUUGACGGGGGCCCGCACAAGCGGCGGAGCAUGUGGCUUAAUUCGACGCAACGCGAAGAACCUUACCAAGGCUUGACAUACACCGGAAAGCAUUAGAGAUAGUGCCCCCCUUGUGGUCUGUGUACACGUGGUGCAUGGCUGCCUCUGCUCAUGUCGUGAGAUGUUGGGGUAAGUCCCGCAACGAGCGCAACCCUUGUCCCGUGUG
This 1061-nucleotide ribosomal RNA is filed under the name Streptomyces sp. Its description in RNAcentral is "bacterial SSU rRNA". It matches the Rfam family "Bacterial small subunit ribosomal RNA", at positions 35 to 1116 of the family's 1533-position model. Lineage: Bacteria; Bacillati; Actinomycetota; Actinomycetes; Kitasatosporales; Streptomycetaceae. The record is from RNAcentral.